Molecule: ribosomal RNA, 363 nt
Filed under: Saccharomyces cerevisiae EC1118
Lineage: Eukaryota; Fungi; Ascomycota; Saccharomycetes; Saccharomycetales; Saccharomycetaceae
Description: ITS1-2
Source: RNAcentral
AAGAAAUUUAAUAAUUUUGAAAAUGGAUUUUUUUUGUUUUGGCAAGAGCAUGAGAGCUUUUACUGGGCAAGAAGACAAGAGAUGGAGAGUCCAGCCGGGCCUGCGCUUAAGUGCGCGGUCUUGCUAGGCCUUGUAAGUUUCUUUCUUGCUAUUCCAAACGGUGAGAGAUUUCUGUGCUUUUGUUAUAGGACAAUUAAAACCGUUUCAAUACAACACACUGUGGAGUUUUCAUAUCUUUGCAACUUUUUCUUUGGGCAUUCGAGCAAUCGGGGCCCAGAGGUAACAAACACAAACAAUUUUAUCUAUUCAUUAAAUUUUUGUCAAAAACAAGAAUUUUCGUAACUGGAAAUUUUAAAAUAUUAA